AUGGACAAUGACCAGGUGUGCCCUGGCCAGACUGACAUCACUUUAAUAAUGACCAGCGCUAGAGAUCAGGCAAUCACAGAAGUGCGGGCGCUAAUGGAGGCGCACAAGGACGAGGUGACCAGCAUCACCGUCACGGGUCACAGCCUUGGCGGCUCACUCGCCACCCUCAACGCAGUCGACAUGGUGGCCCACCAUGUCAAUGUGCCCCCGGCCGGCUCCUCCAAGCAGCAGCCGUGCCCUGUGACGGUGAUCCUGUUUGCGAGUCCACGAAUCGGCAACGAAGAGUUCAAGCACGCCUUCGCCUCCUUCCCUGAACUACGGGCACUCAGCAUGAUCAACAAAAGAGACAAAGUGCCGAAACUCCCGCCAUGCUUCGUGCACGCGACGACGGCGACUAUGCCCAUCGACACGGACCGGUCACCGUACCUGCGCCCAGGCACCAUCGGAAUACGCCAUAACCUCGAGUGCUACCUGCAUGGCGUCGCUGGAGAUCAUGGUGCCGAUGGGGACUUCAAACUAGUGGGGGACCGUGAUUUGGCGCUGGUGAAUAAGAGUACGAACGCGCUAACAGAGGGGUAUCCGGUGCCGGCGAAGUGGUGGGGCGCGAAUUACAAGGGCACGGUCAAGGGUGUUGCUGGCCACUGGAAGCUCCAGAAAUUCGACGAUGAAUAA
RNAcentral lists this ribosomal RNA (672 nucleotides) under Triticum aestivum (bread wheat). Its description in RNAcentral is "partial small subunit ribosomal RNA". Lineage: Eukaryota; Viridiplantae; Streptophyta; Magnoliopsida; Poales; Poaceae. The record is from RNAcentral.